Molecule: ribosomal RNA, 503 nt
Filed under: uncultured bacterium
Lineage: Bacteria
Description: partial 16S ribosomal RNA
Rfam family: Bacterial small subunit ribosomal RNA
Source: RNAcentral
AUUGAACGCUGGCGGCAGGCUUAACACAUGCAAGUCGAGCGGGGUGAUGGUGCUUGCACUAUCACUUAGCGGCGGACGGGUGAGUAAUGCUUAGGAAUCUGCCUAUUAGUGGGGGACAACAUCUCGAAAGGGAUGCUAAUUCCGCAUACGUCCUACGGGAGAAAGCAGGGGAUCACUUGUGACCUUGCGCUAAUAGAUGAGCCUAAGUCGGAUUAGCUAGUUGGUGGGGUAAAGGCCUACCAAGGCGACGAUCUGUAGCGGGUCUGAGAGGAUGAUCCGGCACACUGGGACUGAGACACGGCCCAGACUCCUACGGGAGGCAGCAGUGGGGAAUAGUGGACAAUGGGGGGAACCCUGAUCCAGCCAUGCCGCGUGUGUGAAGAAGGCCUUAUGGUUGUAAAGCACUUUAAGCGAGGAGGAGGCUCUUUUGGUUAAUACCCAAGAUGAGUGGACGUUACUCGCAGAAUAAGCACCGGCUAACUCUGUGCCAGCAGCCGCGGUAA